Molecule: long non-coding RNA, 3678 nt
Filed under: Olea europaea subsp. europaea
Lineage: Eukaryota; Viridiplantae; Streptophyta; Magnoliopsida; Lamiales; Oleaceae
Source: RNAcentral
AGCUUGUCUAAAAUNAAAGAGUUAUGGCAUGUUUGGGAUGGUGGACUAGACUGCCGAAUCAUUAUUAAUUGAAAAAAAAGGUUGUUAAAAUCUUACUGAUUGUAGUGACAAGUCCUGUUUAGUACCGCAAAAAUUUAUCCUAAUGAUGGAGUAGACAUUUUAUGCACUAGCAGUGUGAAUUCUUUGUUGACACAAAAAACCUUCCUAGUCUGCCAUGUUGCACUACUUCAUGUGUUAGAUAGGAGGGUAGUACAUGUGGCACACUUUUAUCUGCACUUAAAGUAUUCGUUGGCUUUUGUCUGUUGUGGCAUUUGAAUUUUUGAAAAGAAAAUGGAGAGAGUUCGGCAUAGGAAGUCCAAGAGUGCUACAAGCAUUGAAGGUAAAAAAAUUCCAUCUCUCGUUCUAUGACUAUAUAUUUUGAUAGAAUAUUUUUUGAAUGGUUAAGCACUUUGGUCUUUUGUGAAGAGAAAUUUUGUUUUGGUAAGAAAAGGGAAGAGGUUUAGGAGAGUUUUAAUUAAAUAAUUGUGUUUGCUACUUUCACGACAUUGCCAAAAUUUAAUGGAAUUAUUCAUUUUAUUUUCCAAAUAUCCUUCUUGUGAGAUUUUUUUUUUUUGUCAUUGAAUAAUCUGUUUAUUCAUUAAGCAAUAAAAAAAGAAUCUUUGUUGAGCUGUUUAAUUUCUGUUUCUUUUUGUUGUUAAAUGUAAAGAUUAUAAUUGACAUGAGUUAAUUAUAGGUGUUGAGCAUGCUUUCGCUAAAGUAAGUGUUUUCUCAAGUGGAAUUAAAUAGGGACCUCUUUUUUCUAUUUUUUGUAAUGGUAUGAUGGUAUCAGCAUUAUUUUGUUCCCUUUUCCUUAUAGAGCUUUCUUCUUAUGAUAAAUUAUCAUAAUUGGGCCAAGUCCUUCAGGAAAACCUACGCUAGUUUUAUUCACAUUUUCCUUUAAAUUCUAUUUAAGCGCAUCGUACAGUUUUCCCAAUUUUUAAAAUGAUUCCUUCAACAUAUAGUUUGUAAUUUUAGACUCAUGGAAUACAUUAGCUGCUACAUUCGUAUUUAACUUGAUUUGAUCUCGGGAGAUGUGGCUGUUAGAAAAAUGUAAAAUUGGAGUUCAAAACUACCAAUUAGAAGAAAUAUGUAUUGGAGAGAAAAUAAUUAAAGUUUGUCCCACGUAGAAAAAUUUACAAGACAACGACUAGUUUAUAUAUGACCACGUUUUAGAAAAGUGUAAUCACGUAGCAUAAAAUUCACUCUACUGUGCUCUCACUAGGGUGUAAAUUAUUAACUUGAUUAGCACCUUAUGCCAUUGUAGUUAUGCGCAAGUGCGAUUAGCGUAUACAAAUGUCGGAUCGAAAUUGACUACUUAUAAGGAUUUGUAUUUUGCCUUUAUUUUGUAGUUUUUUUUAUUGUUUUUUUUCCUUUCAACUGACUUUCUUGCUCCUAAAACUCUUGUGUUUAUUGCAUUUAUUAACGAAAAGAUUACACAGUUAGAUUAUGAUGGUGUUAAUGGUUGUAACACAUUUAAUUGUCGGUUGUUAAGUUACUCAUUACAACCUUUUAUUAUGUAGGUCAGUUUUCUCCUUUGCUCCACACACAAAAAUUCCAAUCUUCUUUAUAGUUCCUUUCUACCCAGAAUGUUUCGUUAUAUUAUGGAAGACAGGCACUCAGACAAAACUUUAAGCACUUAUGAUAAGGGAAAGAGUCUAUUUAAAAGGUAUUGUGUAAUACAGAGUCCUUGAUUUACAAAUCUAUUAUCUCUUUAGCGAUUAAUAUUUUCCUACAAUUCUUGAUUUCCCGUUAUGUUCCAUCUAUAAUUAAUAAAAUAUAUUAUUAUAUUAUGUGACAUCAGUAUAGCAACUUAAAAAUGAUUCUAAAAUAAACAAAUUGAUGAUUAAUAUCUUCGUUGAAGAAUUAAUAUUCAUUUUUUUUUUAAGAAAUGAUAACAGAAUCAAUCCAUAUGGAUAUAACUAGUUGGCUGAAUUGCCAAAUCUUGCUGUGAUCCAAACUGUGGUUAAAUUUUCAAGUUAUGCUAUACCGCAACUAUAUCGUAAACAAUUUUCCUGAUUCACUAUACAACGUGUAUAAUACGAUAAAAAUAGCUAAGUUGUGGGAGCCUUUAGACCGAAAAUAUAAAAUUAAGGAUGUCAAGGUUAAGAAAUUUAUUGUCGAGCAAUUCCUAGAUUAUAAGAUGGUGGACACAAAAUAUUUGAUCUACCAAGUACAGUAACUCCAAGUGAAAAUUUCAAAGUGACUUUUAUUAUUAAGAAGCUACCUUCUGCGUUGAAAGAUUUCAAGAAUUAUCUUUUGCACAAACGAAAGAAAAAGAAGAACUGUUUGUUAAACUUCAAAAUGAAGAAGACAAUAGAGAAUUUCUAGGGAAAAAAAAUUAUCAACGGCUAUGUUAACCACUUAAUGCGGGACUAGAUGCGCUUUUUUAAUUUUUUAAUUUUUAAAAAAUCUUUUAUUUGACUUUAGUUUAUUAACUUUAUUUUUUUUUUUUUAAUUUUCUUCUUUCUAAAAGGCUUUUACUUGACUUUAGUUUCAAAAUUUUUAAAUGACUUUUUUUGUACAAAAGUCAAAAAUGACUUAAUUUGAUAAAAAUUUAGAUAAGAUUUAAACUAUGGUGCUAACUAUAUUAUGUUAUUAUGAUUUUGAGACUUACUAUUUUGUUAAAAACUUCUAAUGUAUGAAAUUCUUAUAAAUCUAUUAAGUAGGGACUUGUCUAGUUGAAAGUUGAAAUUGUAAAAAUUCGUCUAACUUUUGUAUUUCGAAAAUUUAAAAAUUUUAUAAUUGACUAAUUGUGAAAAUUAUUAAAUAAAUAUGGUAGUUUAUAAUUUUAGAUGUUCAGUAUUAUUUUAAUUAUUUAAUAAUUUUUAUAAUGAUUAAGUAUUUACAAUAAUAAUAAAAAUAAAUAACUUAUUUUACCCUAUAGCUCGCCUAGGGUCAUCAAGGCUUCUAAAGCUUGACAUAUAACCUUCACGUCUAGUCAUAUUUUACAAUAUUUAAAACAUUGCUUUUAAGAUCUAUAAGAAUAAGUUUGGGCCAUCUAGUGGUAAAGGGUUAAGAAAAUAUUUCAAUUGUGGUUUUCCAUAAAUUUUCAGGGUGCAGAUUACCUAAGGAAAGAAAGAAAUGAAAUUGACUACAUGGUACACAAUGUAUCUAACAUAAACCUCGAAGACGUUAUUUCUGAAGUGCUACAAUUUAUGUUUGCUCUGAUAAAGAGUUGUUUAGUUUGUUUGAAGCAAUUGUUCUUUUAUAUGAAAUUCAACAAGUUCUAAAAUCAAGAAUUAAGGUAAGAUGGUUCUGAAGAUGACUUCUAGGAAAAAGCUAACUCUUAAUAAUAUGUUGUAUGUACUAGAAAUUUGCAAGAACCUAUUGUCUAGAUCUCUCUAAUAAGCAUUGUUUCAAUAUAGUGUUUGAGUUAGACAAAGUUAUUUUUCGAAAAGUGAAACGUUUGUUGACAAGAGUUAUGUUUGUGGUUGGUUGUUUAUGCUCAAUAUAAUGGUCAGCAAGUUGAAAUGAAUAAAACUAAUUCAUUUGCUUCUUUGGUUGUGUUUUUCAAUUUGUGAUAGACUAGGACAUGUUAAGAUACUCUGCGUAAAUUAAUUAACUUGAUUUAUAUACUCGCAUUCCACAAUAAUUCUAAACAUAAGCGCGACACUUUUGUUGACGCAAAUUGACAAGGUC